CCAUCGGCCCUUUUCAGGGCCACGAAAACAUCCAUACGUAUAGAA
Molecule: non-coding RNA, 45 nt
Organism: Trichomalopsis sarcophagae
Lineage: Eukaryota; Metazoa; Arthropoda; Insecta; Hymenoptera; Pteromalidae
Source: Rfam